RNAcentral lists this ribosomal RNA (251 nucleotides) under uncultured bacterium. RNAcentral describes it as "partial 16S ribosomal RNA". It matches the Rfam family "Bacterial small subunit ribosomal RNA", at positions 100 to 354 of the family's 1533-position model. The record is from RNAcentral.
CGUGGUGAGUAACGCGUGAGGAACCUGCCUUCCAGGGGGGACAACAGUUGGAAACGACUGCUAAUACCGCAUGAAACAUUUGAACCGCAUGGUUUGAAUGUCAAAGAUUUAUCGCUGGAAGAUGGCCUCGCGUCUGAUUAGCUAGUAGGCGGGGUAACGGCCCACCUAGGCGACGAUCAGUAGCCGGACUGAGAGGUUGACCGGCCACAUUGGGACUGAGAUACGGCCCAGACUCCUACGGGAGGCAGCAG